This 2397-nucleotide ribosomal RNA is filed under the name Escherichia coli. Its description in RNAcentral is "partial 23S ribosomal RNA". It matches the Rfam family "Bacterial large subunit ribosomal RNA", at positions 548 to 2925 of the family's 2925-position model. Lineage: Bacteria; Pseudomonadati; Pseudomonadota; Gammaproteobacteria; Enterobacterales; Enterobacteriaceae. The record is from RNAcentral. RNAcentral also lists the same sequence under 1 other name.
ACCUGAAACCGUGUACGUACAAGCAGUGGGAGCCUCUUAAUGGGGUGACUGCGUACCUUUUGUAUAAUGGGUCAGCGACUUAUAUUCUGUAGCAAGGUUAACCGAAUAGGGGAGCCGAAGGGAAACCGAGUCUUAACUGGGCGUUAAGUUGCAGGGUAUAGACCCGAAACCCGGUGAUCUAGCCAUGGGCAGGUUGAAGGUUGGGUAACACUAACUGGAGGACCGAACCGACUAAUGUUGAAAAAUUAGCGGAUGACUUGUGGCUGGGGGUGAAAGGCCAAUCAAACCGGGAGAUAGCUGGUUCUCCCCGAAAGCUAUUUAGGUAGCGCCUCGUGAAUUCAUCUCCGGGGGUAGAGCACUGUUUCGGCAAGGGGGUCAUCCCGACUUACCAACCCGAUGCAAACUGCGAAUACCGGAGAAUGUUAUCACGGGAGACACACGGCGGGUGCUAACGUCCGUCGUGAAGAGGGAAACAACCCAGACCGCCAGCUAAGGUCCCAAAGUCAUGGUUAAGUGGGAAACGAUGUGGGAAGGCCCAGACAGCCAGGAUGUUGGCUUAGAAGCAGCCAUCAUUUAAAGAAAGCGUAAUAGCUCACUGGUCGAGUCGGCCUGCGCGGAAGAUGUAACGGGGCUAAACCAUGCACCGAAGCUGCGGCAGCGACACUAUGUGUUGUUGGGUAGGGGAGCGUUCUGUAAGCCUGUGAAGGUGGCCUGUGAGGGUUGCUGGAGGUAUCAGAAGUGCGAAUGCUGACAUAAGUAACGAUAAAGCGGGUGAAAAGCCCGCUCGCCGGAAGACCAAGGGUUCCUGUCCAACGUUAAUCGGGGCAGGGUGAGUCGACCCCUAAGGCGAGGCCGAAAGGCGUAGUCGAUGGGAAACAGGUUAAUAUUCCUGUACUUGGUGUUACUGCGAAGGGGGGACGGAGAAGGCUAUGUUGGCCGGGCGACGGUUGUCCCGGUUUAAGCGUGUAGGCUGGUUUUCCAGGCAAAUCCGGAAAAUCAAGGCUGAGGCGUGAUGACGAGGCACUACGGUGCUGAAGCGACAAAUGCCCUGCUUCCAGGAAAAGCCUCUAAGCAUCAGGUAACAUCAAAUCGUACCCCAAACCGACACAGGUGGUCAGGUAGAGAAUACCAAGGCGCUUGAGAGAACUCGGGUGAAGGAACUAGGCAAAAUGGUGCCGUAACUUCGGGAGAAGGCACGCUGAUAUGUAGGUGAAGCGACUUGCUCGUGGAGCUGAAAUCAGUCGAAGAUACCAGCUGGCUGCAACUGUUUAUUAAAAACACAGCACUGUGCAAACACGAAAGUGGACGUAUACGGUGUGACGCCUGCCCGGUGCCGGAAGGUUAAUUGAUGGGGUUAGCGGUAACGCGAAGCUCUUGAUCGAAGCCCCGGUAAACGGCGGCCGUAACUAUAACGGUCCUAAGGUAGCGAAAUUCCUUGUCGGGUAAGUUCCGACCUGCACGAAUGGCGUAAUGAUGGCCAGGCUGUCUCCACCCGAGACUCAGUGAAAUUGAACUCGCUGUGAAGAUGCAGUGUACCCGCGGCAAGACGGAAAGACCCCGUGAACCUUUACUAUAGCUUGACACUGAACAUUGAGCCUUGAUGUGUAGGAUAGGUGGGAGGCUUUGAAGUGUGGACGCCAGUCUGCAUGGAGCCGACCUUGAAAUACCACCCUUUAAUGUUUGAUGUUCUAACGUGGGCCCCUUACCGGGGUUGCGGACAGUGUCUGGUGGGUAGUUUGACUGGGGCGGUCUCCUCCUAAAGAGUAACGGAGGAGCACGAAGGUUGGCUAAUCCUGGUCGGACAUCAGGAGGUUAGUGCAAUGGCAUAAGCCAGCUUGACUGCGAGCGUGACGGCGCGAGCAGGUGCGAAAGCAGGUCAUAGUGAUCCGGUGGUUCUGAAUGGAAGGGCCAUCGCUCAACGGAUAAAAGGUACUCCGGGGAUAACAGGCUGAUACCGCCCAAGAGUUCAUAUCGACGGCGGUGUUUGGCACCUCGAUGUCGGCUCAUCACAUCCUGGGGCUGAAGUAGGUCCCAAGGGUAUGGCUGUUCGCCAUUUAAAGUGGUACGCGAGCUGGGUUUAGAACGUCGUGAGACAGUUCGGUCCCUAUCUGCCGUGGGCGCUGGAGAACUGAGGGGGGCUGCUCCUAGUACGAGAGGACCGGAGUGGACGCAUCACUGGUGUUCGGGUUGUCAUGCCAAUGGCACUGCCCGGUAGCUAAAUGCGGAAGAGAUAAGUGCUGAAAGCAUCUAAGCACGAAACUUGCCCCGAGAUGAGUUCUCCCUGACUCCUUGAGAGUCCUGAAGGAACGUUGAAGACGACGACGUUGAUAGGCCGGGUGUGUAAGCGCAGCGAUGCGUUGAGCUAACCGGUACUAAUGAACCGUGAGGCUUAACCUU